UAAAGAGAAUGAGACGAUCGUCCCGAUAUAUCGGGGAGGAAAGUCCGAACACCAGGAGCGAGAUACUACGUAACACGUAGUUCCAGCGAUGGAAAGAUAGUGCCACAGAAAACAAACCGUCCCGACUUGUCGGGGUAAGGGUGAAAAGGUGGUGUAAGAGACCACCAGUGCUCGUGGUAACAUGGGUAGCUCGGUAAACCUUAUUGGUGCAAGGUCAAAUAGAAGAGAAAUUCGCUUGUAGCGGAUACGAAGCGCUCCCUUCGUCAUACUCUCGGGUAGACCGCAAAAUCCGGUCUCAGAAGGUACUGAGAGUACUUCUUGCAAGUGCGCUGUGAAGCCCGGAUCAGAUAAAUGAUCGUCAUCCUGAUCUGUUACUUCAGGAUACAGAAUUCGGCUUACCAUUCUCUUUAGUUU
This 414-nucleotide RNase P RNA is filed under the name Candidatus Cloacimonadota bacterium. RNAcentral describes it as "RNase P RNA component class A". It matches the Rfam family "Bacterial RNase P class A". Rfam says of the family: Ribonuclease P (RNase P) is a ubiquitous endoribonuclease, found in archaea, bacteria and eukarya as well as chloroplasts and mitochondria. Its best characterised activity is the generation of mature 5'-ends of tRNAs by cleaving the 5'-leader elements of precursor-tRNAs. Lineage: Bacteria; Pseudomonadati; Candidatus Cloacimonadota. The record is from RNAcentral.